AAUCAACGCUGGCGGCGUGCCUCAGACAUGCAAGUCGAACGCGAAAGUCUCCUUCGGGGGACAAGUAGAGUGGCGCACGGGUGAGUAACACGUAGGUAAUCUACCUUCGGAUGGGGAAUAACAACCGGAAACGGUUGCUAAUACCGCAUAAUGCAGCGGCACCUAAUGGUGACAGUUGUUAAAGCGGGGGAUCAAAGACCUUCGCGUCUGAAGAGGAGCCUGCGGCGGAUUAGCUAGGGUUAAGGUAAU
RNAcentral lists this ribosomal RNA (249 nucleotides) under uncultured bacterium. Its description in RNAcentral is "partial 16S ribosomal RNA". It matches the Rfam family "Bacterial small subunit ribosomal RNA", at positions 32 to 261 of the family's 1533-position model. The record is from RNAcentral.